Molecule: long non-coding RNA, 22282 nt
Filed under: Triticum aestivum (bread wheat)
Lineage: Eukaryota; Viridiplantae; Streptophyta; Magnoliopsida; Poales; Poaceae
Description: long non-coding RNA (TAES_LNC009183)
Source: RNAcentral
UAAAACUCUUGACUUUGCACAGCCACAGCGCCUGUAACGUUUUGGCCGGCGACAACUAUGAAUACAAUUGCUGGCAGGGAAAUCAUAACACACAGCCUCUGUUAAAAAAUUGUCCCGUUCCCGUUUGUUACACAACUCAGCAUUCUAAAGUUACAUGGCUCACCGCUGGACCGACAAUCGUACGUACACAGAUACAUAAAAAUGGAGCCUUGACCUAAAUCGAUAACUUAGAAGACUCGAUUGAAUAAUAAGUUAUGGAAAAUUGCAAAUUAUGAAGAAAAAUAUUACAUGACAUACACAUACACACACGACCAGGAUGGAGACUGCUACAACAGGUGAAGCCAGCAUGCAGCGCUGCUGCAAAACUGACCCAGGAGGAGCUUCAGCGGCCAAAGUCGCCCAUCGCCUUGGUUUGACUUUUUCCGCCACCACCCGAAGACCAACAUCAGUGAAAUGCGGAGUGUUCUGGUUCGAGCCCCGAGGCACUCAGAAGCUGGCCAGAUCCAAUGACCUGCUAUAGCUGUCCCGUUUAACCUGUCCUGACCGAGGCCGAUCUGGCAGCGAGACUGCCUAACCAUCAGCUUUCUCAUUCAGAAUCCACGGGGUCAGCUCAGGUCAUAGCAUGUGGGUAAGGAGCAAAGCGAAUUGUAAAUUUGCUCGGCCUUGGGGCGCCUAGAUGCAGUUCCUCUGGUGCACUGGUAGAAUAGAUCAAUUAGAAAUCUUAGUUUCUCUGCAUGAGCAUCAGAUGUGAUCCCCAACUUCAGCCUUGUAAUUGGCUCGUCCACUGUCCAGAACGCUUCUAAUUCUUUAGUUAGCCUUGGCCUUUGUUUCUUCCUCUGAUGAGAUAGAAUUCAAAAGAUGUUACUUCCUAUAUGUUUACCCGAAACAACAAGCAAAUACAAAAUAUACAAGAGCCAACUUCUGAUGUAGAGGUCUUACCUUUAUGAGAUCAUAUAUUUCUGAAUCUGGUAGUCCCUCGUAGGGUAUGCGAAGUGUAAGCAUCUCGAAUAUAAAACACCCAUAUGACCAGAUAUCCACUUCCUGCAUCAAAGCCAUAUUUAAACGCAUCAAUACCGCUUUAUUUUGGGGUGUUGGUUGGGGCUAGGACUAUAUCUGAUUAGCAUAAUCUGGUAGGUAGGUAGGGGCCUAUUUGCUGAUAUUAACAUAGUUUAUCAAUUCAAGUGGAUCUUGAUAAUAUACUGAAAUCCAAGUGGCUUUACACUAACCAAUAACAUGACAAUGCACAUUACUGUACACAGGAUAGUCAGCAAUCAGAGUAAUAAUCAUCACACAGGAUACAUGGCAAUGCACAUUACCACACACAAGUAUAAAUGUUUAAGAUUAGCUAAUGCAAGCAAUGAAGAAAAAUUAGUGUUCCAGUAACACAUCAUGAUAAUAACUAUCAAAUAUUGGAAUUUUCAAUCAGAAACAUGGCUGAGCUACUCUGUAGUACAUACUGUUCAGAGCUAUUCAAUAUGAGUUGAGAAAAAAAAGGACAUCGCAAUGUUCAAAUGAAUGCUUACCAGUCCAUACUGGGUUUUCUCAUGCAUGGCCUGAAGAACCUCUGGAGCCAUCCAACAAGGUGUCCCAACACAAACAUUGGGUGGAUAUGUGCCAAGGUGAGCUAUACAGCAUGUAUGGGAUAGAGAAUGCAAAGGAAUGGAUCUGUCGAAAUCAGAGAGUUUGACUACUGGUGUCCCAUGACUCCUCUUCGAAUCCAAAUCAACCAAAACAUUCUCGCUUUUUAUGUCCCGGUGAAUAACUAGCUUCCUGUGCAUCUCCAACAAAGCAGAAGCAACUUCUCGAGCAAUGUAAAAUGCCAGGUCCACAGGUACAUGUUUCUUGCCCUCUUUCAGUAGUUUUGUCAAAUAGCCCUAAUUUGGAAAUAAAAGAUCCAGUUAUCACUGAGAACAUCUAAAAAAAGACUUCAACAAAUACAAGAAGGCUCAUAAUGAUGAACAAAUGAAUUUACCUUCAGUGAACCUCCUUUCACAUAUUCCAUUAAAAUUACAGACUGCAUUAUCCUGUACUCCUUAUCACUAUCAUCUUGAACCCAUUUAGAAGAAAGUUGGUGACCAUAUAUGUCCACUAUGGAUCUGUGCUUCCUUAGAGCAUUCAUCAUUCUUACUUCCCCAAGAAGCUUGUAUUCAAAUUUUUUUACUUCAUCAUUAGAAGCACGCCGGGUAUCUAGGUACCGUAUCUGCAUUUGAAACCGACGCCAAGUAAAUACAUGAAACAUAGUAAAGGCACCAAAGAAAUUUAGAAGGCAAAAAAAAUAAACCUUUGCUGCUGCAUCAACUGAACCAAUUUUGCAGUGGUAGACAGCGCUGGAAGCUGUAGCUUCAAUUUCUUUGCAUAGUGAGACCGAAGGGAAGGAAGACCGAGGUGUAUAGCCUUCAUCAUCAAGCGCAACGUGCAGUCGACUGAGGGGAACAUACCUGAAACCACGUGCACAUAAUUAGUAACGAAAUAAUUUUGUAGUCAGGAAGAAUCACUGAAUAAGCAUGUAGCAUGUACUUUUGUUUUCAACACCUCCAUGAAGCAGCAUGAUUAAAAUUUAAAUACUAGAUCAGCAGAUAAAGCCCCCUAAUAUCAGGCAAACAAAAUAACAAACAAAAGAGUAUGCAAGAACAAAGCAAUAACUGAAAUGAAAGACAUAACAAACCAUAUCAUACCAAUACAGGGUGAUUAGACACGAUGUACUAGCAUAUCCUGACAGCCUGACAGCUACAUAUCGUACAAUAUUUCACAAUAUCCAAUCUUGCAAUCGCACACAUAAGGCAUCGGCAAUUGGCAUUAUAAGUUCUCAUCUUAUUACACAUACUAUUACAAUAUUACUGACCUUUUGCAAUUUAAGUCAUAAUAAAGUUAGAUAACUUCCUCCGUCCUGGUUUACUAGUCCCCCUCAUAUUUUGGGUCAUACUUUGACCAUGAUUUUAACUAAUAAAAUAUAAGUUACAUGUAGCAAAAAUAAUAUCAUUGGAAACUACAUCCAAAUACGAAUCCAAAAUAAUAUUUUUUGGCGACAUGCAUUAACAUUUUGUUGGUCAAAUAUAUGAUCAAACUUUAACCCAAAGUACGAGAACUAGUAAACCAGGACGGAGGUAGUACAUAGCACAUGAAUACAGUAUAAACUACAUAUGGCAUUUGUGUAGGCCAUGUUUUUGACCUGAUCACAAAAUUGACAUAACACUGAAACAGCAGUAACAAUAUAAUGACAAUAUGACAGAACCAGCAUAGUGCAAGUUAGUUGCUACCAUAAAUUCAAGGUAAAGUGGAGUCAGUAUUUUUCCCUAUACGAUCACAAGGCACUCACCUGCAGAAGUACUCUGGAUCCGUCUCUUCCUUUAUGUUCGUGGGGUAACACGCAUCAACAAUCAUCCUUACCAAGAUAUUCCCUUGUCUAAUAGGGACAACAUUCCAAGCAUGAGGCGUGUAGUCAAGAUGCCCCCUCACAAGCUCACAAGGAAUUGGAGGGUCCGCCCGGUCACACAAAUACUGCAAUAGAUAAGGUAGCCAUGUCAAAGCCUCAACUGAUAAACAUAAAACAUAAGUCAGAUAACAGAACAACAAGGUACCUUCAUUAGGACAGCUCGGUGCCUGCAAACACCAAACUGCAAUGCCCCUAUUGGUACAAUGCCUGAAUUAUUCCUUUCCUUAAUGAUGUGUAUUGAUUUAUCACAGAGACCAGUAAAAUUGAAGUGCCCGGGAGGGGUACUGGCUUGUUUUGAUGCUUCAUUGCUAUCACACAUGCUACCGGCAGCACAAGUACAAAUGAAUGGUUGCUCCUUCCUCAAGCUAACAAUAGCUCCCCGUGUUCUCCUCAGAGAAGCACUUCGAUCACAACCUCCAAAACAGUCAGAGACAAACAAAGCAAGAACUGAUGCCCUUAGCAAGUCCUGACCUGCAUCUUCAUCUGUUUCGGAAUAACUUGGCCUCUUCAAACUGGAUAACAACAGUUGUGCUGAAGAAGCAAUUGCGUCCAAUUCUUCAUCUUGUUCUCUUAAGAUAAAGAAGCAAAAAAAAAGUUAGGCAGAUUGCAAACAUAUCCUAUGCUCUCAGAUAGACCAAUCAGAAAGAGCAUACAGCAUAUAAAAAAGCAAAUUACCAAACAACGGAUAGGAAUGUGCACUGACCUGUCCAAAAGAAUAACUUCACGCGCAUACAGUCCGAGACUCCGUUCGUACUCCUCUAAUGGCAUGAACGGCAUAUCUCGCCCCGCGUCAUAAAAUCCAUCCGGUAAAUGGUCAUCUAUGCUGCAAAAUGACUCCACGCUGUACUUAUAGGAUAACUUCGAGGAUUCAUCAAUUGGUCUUGGGCAUUUGCUGGGUUUGGGAUUAUUGUCCAUAUCAGGAUGCCUUUUAGAUUUCAGUGUAAGCUUAGAUGCCUCUGAAGUGUUCUCUUCAACAACUUCAACUGCAUUGCGGGUUGAUGAAGCGGUAUCCUCAAGUUCAUUUUCAAUACUGCCCAAACAAGCUGGAUCGGUGCUGAUACCAGAAUUGUUGUCAUGACAACUUCUCAUAUUUAUUCCAGUUUUUCCAUCGCCAUAUUGGUCCUGAAGCAUCAUGCCACUAUCUUUUAUAAGCCCAUCUGAGUCAUAAUCGAUUAUGCAAGAUAGGUCUUCAGAUAUAGAACUUGUUUCUUUCAAAUCCUGUGCUGAACUUUCUUCAACAAUGUCUUUCAUCACUGGCCUGUUUUCCAUAUCAUCUUCAGUCAUGUUCACAGCCAUUUCAUCAAUGUCAUUUUCACAAAGCCUGCUCCUGCUGGACUCCAAACGCUCGUGGCGAGCCUGCUGUUGCAGGCAAUCCCGUCGCUUCCAGCCCUUCUUCAUUUUCUGUGCGGUAUGAGCUUUUAAAUUGGGGGAAAUAUCUGUGGGUGAGCAUGAGAGCACGCCAUUGCAAGCAUGACUUGCAGGUCUAGGUUCUGCUGAUCUGUUUAUGUUUGCGAUACCUAGACGUUGUAGCUUGUCACUCUUCAAAGGAAUUUCACCAUUUUCCCUCAUGUCACAGCAUACCCAAGAGGGUAUCAUAAAAGAAUGGGAAAUCCUAUUAAACUUGAAGAUAGAAAAAGAAAACUAUCAGGAUCUGAUAUUUUAAUUUCUAAGCAUAAAUAGAAGACAUAAGAAAACAUCCACAAUACAAUCAUCAAUAGAAUUGAUGAGUAAGUCAUAUAGUAUCUCAUGAAAAAAGUUAGUAAGAAAAUGAAUGGCUAAUAUUAACACCUCCACAACUUCUCUCUCUGGCAAACCACCCCCCAUGCAAGUGUUGUUCUGCUUGCCAACACCCUCCUUCCCCUAAUUUUCAUUACAUUUAGAAAGAUCGCAUGUUGAUUCGAUUAUAAUCAUUUUCCUCAAAAAUGACACACUAAUCUCACUCCAAGUAUAAUUGUUAAUCAGGUCCUGACAAAUGUUGAAUGUUUUGUUCCAGAAGUGAAUGAAUGCCAUAGAAUAAGCACCAAAAUGACAAAUGACAAAUAUAAACAAGACAACAAAGAUCAGAAUCAACACUGCUGAAGAUAAUGUAAAUUAUGUCAACAUGAUCAAGACAUAGCAAUAAUUAGGAACAGGUGGAAAGCAAAACUUCUGAUGGGAACAUACCUGAAGAUUAAGAUACUGCAGUGUAAGCAUAGAGACUAGUUCAACUGAUCCAAGGGAUGUCAAUCUAUUGUUCGAUAAGUCAAGGCUUUCAAGACAUCUCAAAGAAGAGAUCCCUGAUGGUAAAUCUACCAACUUAUUAUUAGUCACUUUGAGGAAUUUCAGGGCCCGCAACUCGGUUAUCCAGUUAGGCAAGUUCUUCAGCUUGUUGAAAGACAGAUCAAGUUCUUGGAGCUUCCUGAGGGAACCAAUCUCAGGGGGGAGGAACCUAAAGAUAUUUAAAAAGGAAUGUGAAACCGCCAUUUUUUUCAGGGAACAAUUGAAAUAAAUAAGUCAAUAUAGCAUAAAAUAGAAAUAAUCAUCAGGAACACCAUACAAGUUCCCUAUAUUUGGUUCAAGUGUCCAAAGUUGACAAAAAUUCUAAUAGCCUCUUAAGAGGUGCAUACCACAUACCACAUCAGUAUCGGCAUUUUUUUCAUUGUUCCACAUAUCAGCCAGUUAAUCGGCAUCUUGGUCAGUUAAUCGCUACUCGGACACCUCCAGAUAUGAAAGGCCCUAUUCGUGCCAUUAACUGCUUGGGGUAAUUUAUCGGUCUGGGCCGAUUAACUGCUAGGGAAUUUUUGGCCCAAAAAUGGCCCGUUCCCUCCCUUCUUUCACAGCUGUGCGGGCAUUAGGUUAGACAACCCCCUCCCUUCUCCCACUCGUGGAAGAGCAGCUGCUGCAGCCGUCCCAUCCCUGAGCAGCUCCCGCCGGCUCCGUCCCCUACCCGAGCAGAAGCCGGCGCAGGCCAAUCCCUGGUCCCCUCCCUGAGCAGCCCCUAACGAGCUGUCGGCUCCGCCCCCUCCCUGAGCAGCCCAUGACAGGUUGUCGGCUCCGUCCCCUCCCUGAGCAGCAACCGGCUUCGUCCCCUCCCCAAGCAGUCGCCGGCGCUGUCCCCUCCCCGGGCAGCCAGCAUUCCCUCCCGAGAUGCUUCAUCGUCUGCUCCUCCUAUCCAUGGUGUCCCCAGGCAGCAAGUAAACUCAGUUCUCUCCUCUGUGUUGUACUUCUGCUGCUGAUUAUGCGCCCUGCUACCCUCCUAUGUAGUAUCUAGACAUCUAGUAUGUGCUGAUGUGGUGCAUUUGGCAUUUGUAGCAAUCUACGGUUGCUUCUACUACAACAUGUUGCUAUGUAGGCUAGGAUAUAUAGAUAUGGCCCUAGUAAACCUACGAUAAAUUCAGUUAAUAGGGCGAUUCGCCAAACUAUCCCUACUCAGCACCCGAUCGAUAUGCUACCAGUUGAGAAUUUUGCUACAACUAAAUUUAGACCACAAAAUCGUUUAAUCAUCAUUCAAUCAGUUAAUAGGGCGAUCCGCCAAUUUAUCCCUACUUAGCACCCGACCGAUAUGCCACCAGUUGAGAGUUUUGCUACAACUAAAUUUAGACCACAAAAUCAUUUAAUCAUCAUUCAAGCAUUUGAACUUUUAAACAUCUGCACUAACCAUCAGAUCAGUACAUCUUCAGUGUUGAGACAAAGUAACUUGGCUACAACAACCAUUUAUAAUCAAACUGCAUAACAAAGUUGACAAAUGCCCCUGCACUGCCAAACUAGGGAAACAGAUUCAGAACAGCUAGUUAAAGUAAGGUGGGUAAACUGAAUGCUCCUACAAACACCAAUGACCUCUAUAAACUACUGUAGAGGCAUAGCAAAUAUUGCAGGCAUAAUGGUAGCAGCUAAUGUGCAGGUUAUAAAACUUCAAAGUAGCCACAACAAACAAUUCAACCUGAUUUAACACAUGGCAAAAGCAUCAUGGUUGCAGAAGCUAUUGGACAGUGGGCAUGGAAAAAUUGCACCAGACCAGCAUAUAUAGAUUUAUAAUUACAGUAGAUGCUAGUCUGGCUAAAGGUUUCUUAUACACAUCCAUUUCUCCUAGGGUCGUGCUACUGAAAUAAACAUAAAAUGGCACUAGAAAACACACCAAAAAAAGCAAGCUUACGCUGCAAAUCACAGAUGGAACACUAGCAUUUGGCUGAAUAGACACGAGAACAGUAAAUUAACCAUAAGCAAUUUGGCGCACUGUAGCAAAAUUAGCAGUAGGCAGGCGGGCAGAGCUGUCAAUUGAGGUAGUGGUGUUGUGCAGCAUACCUGAUGGAGAAGUGGCAGAUGGUGAGCUUGGUGAGGCACUUGAGGCCGGCGAUCUCGACGAGUAUGGAGCAGGCGGAGGGCCUGGGCGGCACCAUGGAGAGCUCGAGCUCCCUGAGCGCCCGCAUCCGCCGGAGCACGGCCCCGGAGACCCUGGGCGCGGAGACCUUGAGCUGGAGGCUAUGGAGCCCGUCCAGGUCCCCGGCCUCCGGGGGCAGCACCUCGACGUCGUUGCCGAAGAACUUGAGCGCCCUGAGCCCCCCGCGGCACUCGCCGAUGGAGCGCGGGACCAGGUUGUAGGCGUUGCGGUAGAUGUAGAGCUCGCCGCCGCGGAGCGCAGCGGGCGGCGGCGAGAAGGGGGCGAGGUCCCACGUGUUGCCGGCGACGUCGGCGGCGUCGGAUCCGCGCGGCGGGAGGCCGCCGCCGUCGGGGUCCGGCGCGGCGGGGUCCAUGCGGGAGCCACCGUCGGCCGCGGGGUUUUGGGGCGGCGCGGCGCGCCGCGGCCUAGGGUUUCGUACGGGGGGCGGGGAGAGAGUGUGAACGGGGGAGGGGAAAAGAGAGAGAGGAGGAGGGGGGGGAGCGUAUAAGUUAAGCUAUACUAAAGCUGAGAUUUGGACCGGGUUCUGAUUAGUUUCUGUCUCGAGGGGUAAAUUGGAAGGCGGCCACGCGGUCACCCCGCGCUCUCCGGGAAGACGAAGCUGGUGCGGCUCGGACGGGGUCGGGGUCAGGCUCGGGGUCGGGUGCGGUCCAGGUCGGGGUCAGGCUCGGGUGCGGUCGCGGUCCGCGUUGGGGUCGGACCCGAGCCUGUGUGUUCAAGGGCUCAAGGCCCACUUUGAAAGAGGCCCAGUCACCUUCCAAGGUUUUUGGUUGAUCCACAUCGCUCCAGUCUCCGGCUCUCGCCGCCGGCCACCCCUCCCCGUCCUCCUCUACUCCGCUUCCCGCCGGCAGGAGCGACUCCUUCUGCCGCUUGCCUCGGGCCGUGCUUCGGAGAUGCCGGCGACGGAGGAGGAAGGCGCGGCGGCGGCGGCGGAGGAGGAGGAGGCGUACGAGCAGGAGGACGGGGACGGGGAGGAGUACGACGAGGAUGAGGAGGAGGGGUACGAGUUCGGCGACGCGGCGGACGCGGCGCAGUGCGUGGAGAUGGCGGAGCGGGGGCCCGGCGGCGCCGUGGCCACCGUCAGCAUCCGGGACUUCGAGGCCCUGGCGGCGCUGUCGCGCAAGCGGAAGGCCCUCCCCGAGGAGCCGCCGCAGGGGGACGAGCCCUCCAAGCGGAGGAGGCAGCAGGGCGAGCUCUCCGAGGCGGAGUCGGCGAACCUCUUCGACCAGCUGAUGGAGGGGUUCGGCCUCCGGCGGAAGAAGCGGCGGCGGUCCAAGGACGGCAAGAGGAAGGGGCGGGCGAGAGGGCGGAGGAACCGGUGCAGCCCCGAGGUCAUCAAGAAGCUGGGCGACGCCACCCUGCUCUUCACGGAGAACAGGUUCAAGGAGGCCAUCCCCAUCCUGCACGAGAUCGUCCGGAUCGCGCCCAACCUGCCCAACUCGUACAACCUGCUCGGCAGCAUCUACAAGGAGAACGGCGAGAUCGACAAGGCCAUCAACUUCGUGAUGCUGGCCGCCUACGUCUCGCCGAAGGACGUGUCGCUGUGGAAGAAGCUCAUCGACCUGGCUCUGAAGAAGGAAGAUGCUGCUCUGGCAAGACACUGUGUUAUCAAGGCAAUGAGGGCUGAUCCGGAGGAUGUGGGGCUCAAGUUUGAUUGCGCGAACAUAUAUCGCACCCUAGGCGACUGUCACAAAGCCGCGGAGAUAUACGAGCAGAUUGUCGGGAUCCAUCCUUCCAACACCGUCGCCCGUAGAGCGGCAGCACAGAUGUACAGAGACUCUGGUCAAAUUGAUAAGGCUAUUGAUUUGUUGGAGGAUUUUAUCAAUGCUCAAACUUCAAACAUCGACUGGGGUCUUCUUGAUUUACUGAUAUCCCUUCAUCUGAGAAAUGAUGCCCAUGGUGAAGCUCUUAGGCAGAUCAAGAAGGCACAGCUGGUGUUGGGAUCUGGACACAAAUUACCAGUACGAUUGCAGGCAAAAGCAGUAAUCUGCCAUGCUUAUCUUGGAGAUAUGAAACAUGCUGAGGUGUUCCUUCAGGAUGUGCAUCUGGGGCGUUCAAAAGAGAAUGCUGAUAUGGUUAAGGAGGUCGCCAGCACUCUUCAAAGUUUGGGGCAGUAUGAGUAUGCACUAAAAUUUUACUCGGUUAUGGAAGACGUUGCUGUUCACAAUGAUGGUAGUUCAUAUGUGGAAGCUGCUCGAUGCUACAUGGUAAUGGGGGAGAAAGAAAAGGCUAUCCCUUACCUCUAUAAAGCUUUAGAAGGGAUGGAGGACAAUGUCGAUGUACGGAUAACCUUAUCUUCUCUUCUCGUUGACGAGGAUAAGAGUGAUAAAGCUAUCACUGUGCUUUCUCCUCCUCCUGAAAAUCCAGAGUUGCAGUCCGCUGAUAUCCCGGAUCAUCAGAAACCUUGGUGGCUUCAUGGGGAAGUAAAGAUGCAGCUUGCCAAACUUUAUUACAACAAAGGCAUGAUGGAGAAAUUUGUGGAAACCAUUUUUCUUCCCAUUCUCGAGACACUGGAUAUCGAGUAUGCUAAUAGAAAGGUCAAGAUGAAUAGAAAGCUUACAAAUGAUGUUCUGCAGGAAAGAACUAAAGUGCUGGGGGAAGCGCGUCAAGACAGCGUAUUUCAAGGAUGCAGGCCUAUAGCAUCGACUGCAGAGUUAGUGAAGGCAAACAGAGCAAGGAAAUUGCUAGAAAAAAGGGCAGCAGAGUCAAAUGAAGAUACAAUAAGAGAUGAUACACGUAGAGCAAAGCAGAAACCUCCUCUUCCUGGUCUGCUGACAAAUGUGGAGAACCAUCAGCUUGUGUUAGAUCUCUGUCGAACACUGACUUUGCUUCAGCGAUACUUUGAGGCGCUGCAAAUUAUCAAUCAUGCUCUUAAACUUGGAAAUGACCCCCUCUCUGAUGACAUCAAGGAGGAACUCCGGUCCUUGGGUGCUGAAAUAGCAUACAGAGCUCCAGAUCCCAGUCCUGGUUUUGAUUAUGUCCGUUAUGUAGUUCACAAGCACCCGCAAUCCAUCUCCGCAUGGAACUCCUACUACAAAGUAACAUCAAGAGCAGAAGAGAAAGGUCAUUUUAAGUUUCUUCUUCGGGCAAGAAGGGAUCCCAAGUGUGUGCCCCCUAAAAUCAUAUCUGGGCAUCGAUUUACUGCUAUCAGUCAACACCAGUCCGCUGUUCGGGAUUAUCUGGAGGCAUACAAGCUGGACCCGGAGAAUCCUCUAAUCAAUCUCUGUGUUGGUUCGUCCUUGAUCAACCUCUCCCUGGGCUUCAGGCUACAGAACAAGAACCAGUGCAUCGUCCAGGCGUUUGCGUUCCUCUACAAGUGCCUGCGCAUCGGCAGCAACAGGCAGGAGGCCCUGUACAACAUCGCCCGGGCGUACCACCAUGUCGGCCUCAAAACCCUGGCGGUCAUCUACUACGAGAAGGUUUUAGCCAUGGAGGUGGAAGAUCACCCCAUACCUAAGCUUCCAUUCGAGGAUUUACAUGAGCACCAGGAUUUCAGGCCUGGCUACUGCGAUCUCCGAAGAGAGGCUGCAUUCAAUCUGCAUCUGAUCUACAAGGAAAGCGGAGCAACUGAUCUGGCGAGGAGGAUCCUCAAGACCUACUGUUCUAUUUAGGAAUUGGUCGUUUAUUUAUACUAUAUACAACUACUUGGCCCUGUCUAUGUGGAUACUGCUACGCAGCAUUUCCAUAUAAUCGUGAAGGCAGGCGAUUUUUCAUAGUGGAGUCCAAAAGAGAUUCUAGACUUUGAAAUGGUUCUCCUCCCAGGUUUUGUCACACUGGUUUUGGAAUGAUAAUAUGCCUGUUUCUUCCAAUUUGAUCAUGAAACAAAAUGGAUGGAAAUCAUUUACACCCUGAUUGGAUCAUCGUUUCAGAGCGAUAUACACUUGUAAAAUAUACAGACCUCCAUCCGUCGAUCUUUUUCCAGGCGGAAAUCACAUUGUGGCCUGUGAAAUACACCUGCAAAGUAAUUACGGAUGUAAAAUGUUACACCCAUACCAAGCGGAGCCUUACUGUACAACAUAGAGUACAUGAAAAACUGCCUGAAGCAAAAACACUAGCUACAAGCUAGUAACACGAUACAAAAGACAAAACAAACUAAGCCUUCACUGAACUUUAUUUAUUGAGACAUAUAUAGGGGGGACUGAUAAAUCUCUACCACCAGGUGGUGGCAUCAGAGUUUCUUCGAGUAUCGGUAAACUUACAGCAGUAUCAUUACCCAUCAGACAGUACAUUUAUUGAAACAGCAUUGUCUAGAGCGUUGUAAACUGCUCAAAAAUAAAAUGCGGUGUCUCAGCGAUUCAGUGUCAAGAUUGGCAGUUUACAACAAGGGUCAUCAAGCUAGAAGUGGUUAGACCAAUCAGCAGCACUACCGACGCGAGGGAUCCCCGAGUCCUUCUUGGCCUCGCUGUCGACCUUGAAGGUGGAGCCGCACAUCUGGCCCUGGCUGUCCACACGUGGCACGGCCUUCAGCUCGUUCAGCGGGUGCUCGAAGCUCUGCAGCCCUCCAGAUGUGGUGUAGAAGCAGCCUGAUGAUCAACGAAAAUGCAGUGUCAAGAUGAUGAGUACCGCAGCUGAAUUAUAGGGAUACAAACAAAGAUGAGAUGGGUGAAGUGUGGCAACGCUGCUCUUUGUAGUGUACCUUUGGGGAAUGGCGCGAAUGAGUUUCCACAGCCUGCCUUGAGAAGCUCAUUGUCGUCAGAGAACACAAGGUGGUCUUCAGAGUCGACGCCCCAGAAGAAGGGGAUACUGCCAUCAGCAUCCUGUUCAAGAAAAGCGGUUGCAACUCAAAACCAUAUUCAACUACAGGUUAAAAUUUUACAUCCUUUGAGAAGAGAGAUGAUCUACUCACAGCAGCGACGAAGGUGGAUUUCGACACAGUGUCGUACAGGAUGAAAGCGAACCUUCCACUGAGAUCUCUCACGACCUGGCUGGCUGGGAGCGGGCCCCUGUCCCGGAGGGUUCUGUAGGCCUCAAUCAGGAUGGUAACUUCAUUUGCUGUCUUGCUCAGACCAUAGUGUUGCUUCAGGUUGCCAAUGUUCUCAACAUGUCCUUGGAACAGGCAAAAUAUGUCAUUCACAGAACCAAACAUCCUGGAUACGAGCACAAAGCCAAAAAUAGAGUCAGGUUAACACAAUUCAGGUAACCAGGUAGAAAAAUAAUUCUCAGGAGCACUAGUCGGUUAGAAAAAAAUAAUCCACGUUACUGCUAUUUGUUGGAAUUACCACAUGCCUAAAUAGACACACUAUCAUGUGAAACAUUUUCUUCAAAAGCAACAAAACAAUGUUACUUGAGUCACAUCAAUGUUCAUUAUGUUAUUCAAGUUGGCAGCCCAAUACUCCUGAUAGGUUUGACAAGUAUGUUGUCAGCAAGCAUGAUAUUUAAGUUAAAAGUUAUCGAAAAAAAAGUAAAAGUUGCUUCCCUAUCGAAAGAAAAAUUGUUCUUCACUUAUGAGUAUUUUUUGCUAUCAUCUUCACUUAUGAGUUAGUUUAUAAUGGGGGGCAGCUCCCGAGUGGUAUGCGUGUUCGUUGCACAUGACAUGUUGCUAUCGAAUAAAAAAGAGCAAUAGUCACCACCAUCACCGGUGGGCUGACAAGGAACAGUUGAUUAAUUAACAAGUAUCAAGGUAAGAUGGACAUGUGCAUUGUAUCAGAAACUUCAAUGUUACUUCCCUUCUUCAUGACGAAUCUUUAAGACACGGAUGCAAAAACAUAGUGUAGGGAAAAAAUAUGGCAUAUUAUAUCUACAUAAAGGGUUCAGGCAAGACUCCACCUCCUCACAUCACGAGAUUUGUUUGAAUCUCUUCACGCUGGAUCAAAAUCAUCGGUGUUGGAUAACAUGAUUGGACCCAGAAUACCAGUGUGAAGUUUCAACUUUGAACAGCAGGAAUCAAGACAAAAGUAUCAGUCUCAACAGCUCGAAUGGUAAGCUGGAUCUUGACUGUUUAAACGCACAACAUUCAGAAAUAUUCACAACCUUGGGCUAGAGGUAAGCCGCCACAGCAAAAUUUCAGUACAUGAUGCGACGAUCCUAUGCCUUCUCUCUAACUGGAAUGAUGCAUUUCGCUAAAUUGUUUCUCUGGGUGCCACUAAGCAAGCCCAGCUAUGAACAGGUUCCCCAAUCUACGAGCCUACUAAAACGAUCAAAUAAAGGACUACUACUCCAGUUAAGCCGUUCCUAAUUUGGACAGGAUCUGAACAUAUACGAAACAAUGAUUAAAUUCAACAACCCGUCAUAAUGGUGCUGUCACAUAACUUAUGUUGCAGAUCUGAAGAAGAGUCUGGCCUAGAAUUUACGCUGCGGAGCCCCCAACUACAGACUAGAAAUCGCCGGAAAGCUCCAAAACCAGCACGCCACUGAAAGCUACAUCUGUGGCUGGCCUGGCCCGGAGAAACCAAACGAGAAAGGGAGAUCUCCGCAGGCUCCAAACGGGAACCUCCAAAGUCCCAGCGAAGCGAUCACAUCACCGGAUCAAGCGCAGUGAAGGCGUCAACACGGCGCAGCUUUCGCAUCACCCGACAGCACUACAGGCACCGGCUUACUCGUGGUAUUAUUGAGCAAGACUAGCGGAUAACGGAGCCGUACCUGGGGACGAGGGGGUUCUUGUUGGCCGAGGAGUAGGCGAGGGCGCCGGCGGCGCCGAGGCUGACGGUGACCGCGGCGUCGUUGGCGGCGGCGAAGCCCUUCAUGAGCGCGGCCGCGCCGCCGCCCCCUGCCGCCGCACCUCCGGCCGCCGGCGGGCUGCGGAGGCCCUCCGGGCACUUGGCCACCGUCUGGUCGAACACGGCCAGCAUCUCGGCGCGGCGGUGGUCACCUCUCCGAUCUCUCCUCUCUUUCCGUGCGCUGAGGCUGUGCUGUCCCCGUCUGCUUUGUCUGCGUGCUGCGGUGUGAUCGAUCUCACGGCGACGCUGAAUGGCCACCGCAAGUCAACUGAUAUAGGGCGCUCGGUUUCCCGUUUUGCCCCUUGGUCGGUCGGUUGGUGGGAAAUUCCCGGGGCUUUUCUCGUGGCCGCCAAUGGUUUUCGUGUCUCGGUAUCCGUUUUUUUCUCUACGUGGAGUAUAAAUAAACCGUAUAAAAUCCAGAAAAAAUCGCAGGGGAUGCAAAAAGUUGGCCGUUUAUUAUCUGUAGAUUAUCUUGCUGUGUCCGAGGGUAGUUUGGUAAUUUGGGUACAUAUAAUAACUGUCCUAGUCCCUGUGGGGUCUUAUCCAUUUUUUUCUGGUUGAUUGAUUGNNNNNNNNNNNNNNNNNNNNNNNNNNNNNNNNNNNNNNNNNNNNNNNNNNNNNNNNNNNNNNNNNNNNNNNNNNNNNNNNNNNNNNNNNNNNNNNNNNNNNNNNNNNNNNNNNNNNNNNNNNNNNNNNNNNNNNNNNNNNNNNNNNNNNNNNNNNNNNNNNNNNNNNNNNNNNNNNNNNNNNNNNNNNNNNNNNNNNNNNNNNNNNNNNNNNNNNNNNNNNNNNNNNNNNNNNNNNNNNNNNNNNNNNNNNNNNNNNNNNNNNNAAUCUAUCUAUCUCUGGUGGCAUGAGUAGAGGAGAGGAGAGCCAUCGUUUUUUCAAAGCGAGCACGGGCCGACCUCCACAUUUCCAGAUGCGUUGUCGUGGAAAACAUCAUCUCCGAUCGUGCUUCAUCCCCCGGAUCUUUGGUUUCACGGGUCGAGCUUCGCGCAAGACCCAGUUUUUUUUUUUUUUACGUCUCCAACAUGGAUCAUCGAAAUGUCCAUGAAUAUUUGGAUCAAACAGUCCAGACAUUUUUAAUAAUUCAAUGCGGAUCAUCAAAUUAGGCAGAACUAGUCCGUGUGUUUGAAAUCCCAAGAUUGGUCCCAAAUUGAAGGAGGAGCUAUGUGGGAGUCUGGGCGCCCGCCAUGUCAGACUCCGACAUAUCGGACCCACCCAAAACCCGACUCGGAGGCAAGAGCCCAUGCAUUUUCACAGUCCUGUCAUUCUUCCACGCCAAAGCCCGUCCUCUACGCCCUGAUCGCCUUUGCCCCCGUCCGUUCUGCCGUCCACCACCGCCACGAUGGACCCGUCGAAGCACUUCACGAUGUUCGCCGUCCCACUAAACCCGCAAAACGAUAAGCACUACGCUUGAGUAAGAGGGCCGCCGAGCUCCGCCUCCACAGCGGAUCGACAUACCGGUGCCACCCAGCCAAUUACAGCCCUGGCCCGCACAGUACAAGUCGUCAUACUACUACGCUGACCAUCAAAAUGGUCAGUCCGACACAUGGCAAUCGAUGCAGCACUCCUUCACCUCCGCCUUUGGCAAUCCUCCACCAUACAUCGUCGAACUCAACAAUGACUGCAUGUUCACUGAGUCACCAACGCUCAUCCGACCACGGUUUUCGUCCGAGAAUCCCUCGUCCAACAAUGCCCGGUAAAAUAACGCAACAUCACUACUAGGGAAAAGCCUAGCAGCAGCGCGGGUUCUAGGUAUAUCAGUAGCGCGGGGAUCGGCGCUACUAAUAAGGCGCUACAGCUAACCCGUAGCAGCAGCGCGUGCACGCCCGCGCUACUGCUAUACAAGUGUAGCAGCAGCGUGCUGCGUGGAAGCUCGCUACUGCUAAUAGCUCUAGCACGCUUUGUCUGGACGCGCUACUGCUACUGUCACGCUGUUGCUAACUUUUCUCCACUCGCUACUGCUAAUUUUAGUAGUUUUUGAUUUUUUUCUGCAUAUUUGUUUUGUAUUUGAACACGCUUUAUACAAGAAUCUUUAGCAGAUACAAAUGUGAUCAUGAUACACAUACAAAUGGUUGCGAGACCACAAAUAUAAUCAUAGCAUAUACAUACAAAUAGUCUCAUCAUAAUCAUCAUCCAACACAGUGGUAUCUCGUCAUCAUCUCGAAAAUAGCGAUACAUGCAAGUCUCGAAUACUUGUAACUACAACGUCAUCCAUCUAAACAAUGGUAUACGCGAGAAGAGCUAUCACUAUGAGUGAGAGCGGAACUAUGCAGUACAUGAGGUGGCGGUUACGAGUCCUCUCUCGCGCUAGCGUGAACCUCAAGUAACUAGCUUCUCCUUCUUGUCUGCUUUUGAAGCCUUUAUGGCUGGCGCCCGAGACCCCAUUCACUUGCGCCUGACACUCAAGCCACUCGUUGUACACCUCCAGAACCUUCCCUUUAUACACGACAUAGCACUGCCAUCUCGCCAUCAAGAAACUAGGUACCUGUUAGAGAUGCAUCUUCAUCAAGAGGAUGUACAAUCAUAUGCAACAAAAUAUACUAGAGCAACACGAAAAAGAAAGGGUUAGCAACUAGAUGCAACAUACAGUACGCAAACUAAUUAACUAGAGGUACGCAGGUCAUCAUACCCAAACUAACAAAGUAGCGUUACGCAAGUUCGGCAGGGACAGUGGACAUCACAAAGUUUCAUCUCUACAGAAAGUAUACAAGUUCAACCGACACAUAUCAUCAUCAUCGGCAUCGUAAAUCACUAGAAGUUCCAUCCUUCCAUAUCAUCGAGGAUGGACCCUAGCUUCUUGAAUGGCGUGAGGUCUUGACGUUGCAUGCCUAUGCGAGUUCGGACGUCAGCUCGUGAUAUAGGGCCGUGGUGGAACAUCCCCUUCUCGUCGACGACUUCUUUCAUGAUGAUCGUCGCAAUGUCCCUUUGGAUGCGAAAGAAGUCAUCUCUAAGUUUAUAAUCCGCUUCUCCAUGAGAUUCUAGCCACUUGUGGAUAUGAUCAUCAUUUCUGCUUGUCAUGCGAAGCUUUUGGUGAUCCGUGCUGAACUCAAUCAUGAGAUGGAGGAUGUAGAAUCCAUCCUUCUUGCUUGGUUUUGGGACAUGGAUGCAGCAGAAGUUAGUUUUAUGCGCGAAACCCAUCUUCUUGUUCCUUUGUUUCCUGAUCUGCAUGUGGCCACCUCUAAUGCUGAAGCCUUGGAGAGCAUCAUCUAGAAUAUUCAUUAUGUGGGUGUAGUCCUUUUUCUCGUAGUCUCUGGAAGGGUCGAAAUACACGGCGUGGGAGACUCACGGGUAAAGAACGAUAAGGACGGCGCGCCCAUUGCUGCGGGGAAAAGACACCUCAAAUUAUUCUCCAUAUGAGCGAGAAGGAACGAUUGAAAUGUAUGAAAGGGUUGCCCGGAACUGACUUACUUUGGAUGAUAAGGCAGGAGGACAAUUUCCUGGUCCUUAUUCUGUACCAUGAAGUUUUGGAGGUAGUCCCUAGCAGUUUCACGCUCAAAGUCGCCGAGACUCAAGAAAGAAUCGUGCAUGUAGUACGAAUCCGCCACACAGAUUUGCGAGGCUUCUUCUCUCUUCAUGACGAAGCUCAUAUGUAGCACAAAAAGGCGGACGAUUGUAAAAUCGAGCCGCCUUGUCAGAAACAUCUCAAAGAUAUGGUCAAACCGAAGGAAGAACACCUCCGCGGGCUGUGUGUCGACGUAGCACUUCCCCUCAGGCACACGAGCCGCGUAUGUCAGAUAUCUUGGAUCCUUCGAGGCUAGUAGGCUUUUCUCAGUCGAUAGCACAUGGUCGUGCAGUCUCCUGAGAUCCCCUGAUAGUGCCUCUAGCGGUUUCGGCGGUAGCAUCGGCUCGCCCGUGAGAUGGAACAUGGCCGCACCUUUCACGGGUACACGCUCUUCAGAAUCCAUCGUCUGGCUGCUAUGUGCUCUAGCUUGUUUGGAGGCAGCUAUCUUCCCCGAUCUCUUCCUCUCCUUUUUCUUGGGCACACCUUCCAGACCCUUCCUUAACCCCUGCCCCAGUGUUCCCGGGCUAAGCACUGUACGACCCUCGGCUAGUUGAGCCUGUGUUGAGGCGGCAUCUUCAGGCGUGUCCUGUGAGGAUUUCAUGAAGAGAGACUUUUUGCAAUCCCUGCUACGACCUUCCUGCCCGGGCAGAUCAUCCAUAUCCUCAUUCUCAUGCUGAUAGCCCGAUUCGUCAUAUGGUUGACUCAUCAUAUCUAUGUCACAGUCAUACGCGUUUGUACUGAGAAAACCCAUUGGGUCGACCCCCGUCUCAUCAUCCAUUCUAUGUUCUACAGGACCGAUUACAUCAGCGAGUACUACUUUCCAAAUAGUCUACAAGACCGUCUACUACAAAUAGUCUACUAUCUAAAAAUAGCAUAUACAUACAAAUAGUCUACAGGACCGUCUCAUCAUAGCAUAUACAUACAAAUAGUCUACUAUGAAAAAAAUGAGAAAUGACAUAAAAAAGAAAUCUAUGUUUGCCGGAAUGUCGUUUCUCAGCACUCGAUAUGGCUACUAUCUAGCACAAAUCAUGCCAAAAUUCACGGAAAAUUUCGGCAUGACCUUUGCUAAAAAAUGGACAUAUCGAGCGUCUGAAAUUCACCGGAACGGAAAUGAAUCAACAUUCCGGCGUAACAUAGGCCACUCGGAUCAUUUACCCUGCACAUAAUCAUCAUGUCCAAAUGACAUGUCCAAAUUUCUAAAUAUGACAUGUCCAAAACAUCACAUGUCCACAUAUCACAUGUCCACUUCAAAUUUGCAUAUAAAAGGAAGAAAAAUAUAGAACUUAAAGAAAAAACCUAGCUAAAUUCAUAACUAAAUAUAUAACCUAAUUAACCAUCUGCCCUAACUAAAACCUAAGUAAAUUAACCAAAAAACCUAGCUACCAGAGAGAGGAGGAGCGGUGGGGGGCUUACAGAGGGUGCAGGCCCGAUGAAGGCCGAGGUUGGGAGGGGCAGGAGUCGGGGUCAAGCGCCGGGGCCCGAGCCGGGGUCGGGGUCGGGGCCGGGGCCGUGGCNNNNNNNNNNNNNNNNNNNNNNNNNNNNNNNNNNNNNNNNNNNNNNNNNNNNNNNNNNNNNNNNNNNNNNNNNNNNNNNNNNNNNNNNNNNNNNNNNNNNNNNNNNNNNNNNNNNNNNNNNNNNNNNNNNNNNNNNNNNNNNNNNNNNNNNNNNNNNNNNNNNNNNNNNNNNNNNNNNNNNNNNNNNNNNNNNNNNNNNNNNNNNNNNNNNNNNNNNNNNNNNNNNNNNNNNNNNNNNNNNNNNNNNNNNNNNNNNNNNNNNNNNNNNNNNNNNNNNNNNNNNNNNNNNNNNNNNNNNNNNNNNNNNNNNNNNNNNNNNNNNNNNNNNNNNNNNNNNNNNNNNNNNNNNNNNNNNNNNNNNNNNNNNNNNNNNNNNNNNNNNNNNNNNNNNNNNNNNNNNNNNNNNNNNNNNNNNNNNNNNNNNNNNNNNNNNNNNNNNNNNNNNNNNNNNNNNNNNNNNNNNNNNNNNNNNNNNNNNNNNNNNNNNNNNNNNNNNNNNNNNNNNNNNNNNNNNNNNNNNNNNNNNNNNNNNNNNNNNNNNNNNNNNNNNNNNNNNNNNNNNNNNNNNNNNNNNNNNNNNNNNNNNNNNNNNNNNNNNNNNNNNNNNNNNNNNNNNNNNNNNNNNNCCGUGGCCGGAGCCGGGGUCGAGGUCGGGGUCAGGGUCGGGGUCGGGUGCCGGAGCCGGCGCCGGGGUCGGUCGGGGUCGGGGUCGGGGGCGAGCGCAGAGGCGCGGCGAGGGCAGGGCUCCGGCGGCGCGACGGGGGAAGAGAGAGUGUGUGGAUUUGGGGGAAAAGAGGCGGGAUGAAGAGAGGAGUGGGGAUUUUGGGGGUUAAAUGGGCAUAGUAGUAGCGCAUUUAGGAAAUACGCGCUAUAGCUACUCCAGGUAGCUAUAGCGGUUUCGUGUAGAAACCGCUACUGCUACCUUGACUAGCUGUAGCUCUUUUCUCACAAAAGCGCUGUUGCUAUAACCAGUAUCUAUAUAACAGUUUUCCUGUUUGUUUCCUUCUAUUUUCUUUUCCUUUAUUUUCUCUCACUUUUCUUUUCUUUUCUUCCGAGAGCAGUGAACGAAGGGAAUUGAAGGCGAUAUAUAUUGCAUCAUUUGACGGUUAAAUAUGUAUACAAAAUAGGAAUAUAUAUAUAUAUAUAUAUUACAUCAUUGGACCCAUGUAUAAUAAUGGCUAAGUGUGUAUACAAAAUAGGAACAUAUAUAUUACAUCAUUUGACCGAUAACAUACGGUUCCUCAGCGUUGACGUUUCCGUUUUUGAGUCAGCUCUUUCCCUUCUUGUUCGUUGGAGAAUAAUUGAGCCCCUCAUUAUGACUUUGCCUUUUCCAUGGAGUACGAUUUUUCUUAGGUAAUGCAGUAUCGGUUCUUCUUUUGACGUAUACUUCAUCAUCAUCAUCAUCUUCCCUCAUUGGGUUGCCGUACUGAUCGUAGUCUUCCUCGUUGGCGACUCCAUCCAUUCCAAUGAUGUUCCUUUUGCCUCUCCUCACGACAACACGGCUGGGAUUGCGUGGGUCGGUUAUGAAGAAGCAUUGUGUCACAUGCUUAGCGUGUACCCAUGGCUUGUUUUUUGCGAUAGCGUUCACGGUAGCGCUCUUGGCAUCGGGUAUAGUCAUGGUAGUGAAAUUCCGGUUUUCUCUUUCGACAUUCUUAGCCCAUCUGACACGGAACAUCGUCGUGUGUUGCAGUCCAGAGUAGUCAAGCUCCCAGAUCUCCUCGACCCUUCCGUAAAAUCUUUCAGUUGCGCCGUUGUCGCUGCUGGUCAUGCAUUCCAUCGUCACCCCUGAGUUCUGAUCAUCACUAUCCAUAUCUUUGGCCUCCGUGUAGAACGUGUAUCCGUUGAUAUCGUAUGCCUAAUAGGUUAGGAGGUUGGGCGAGGGGCCAUGUGCUAAGGCGUAUAUGAGCAAUCCGUCCUUAGAGCCCUCCUCCGGGGGAUUAGCAAUAAUAUGCUCUUUGAACCAAUGCAGGAAAGUGGAGUUGUGCUCUCUAGUAACUUCGGCGUCCGUCCUGCAUACCCCCCGGUCACGAUACUUCUUUGCGAUAAUUUCUUUGUGCAGUGCCACGAAAGGAUCUACCUCGUCUAGGUGUUGUAGCACUACCAAGUUUGCUCUGUCAAAGUCGCUGCGUCGAUCUAAGUAUGCCACGUGCAGUUCCCUGCGACCGUUGGAGUGACCUUCUCCUUCGAGCCUCCCAUCGUGCUUGUUAACGGGCAAACCAACACUAACACCACGCGGCUGGUCUGCGCCAUAUAGAAAAUUCUUGCAGAAAGAGAUGCACUCUUGUGUCAGAUAGCCCUGGACGAUGCUUCCAUCCGGACGAGACAUGUUACGAACGAAUCCUUUGAUGAUCCCAUUCAUCCUCUCAAACGGCAUCAUGUUGUGCAGAAAUGACGGCCCCAGGUCUAUCAUGUCGUCCACAAUAUGGACACACAGAUGCACCAUCACGUCAAAGAACGCGGGCGGGAAGUACAUCUCAAGCUCAUUCAGUAUCACAACGAUCUCUUCCUGUAGCCUUCGGAGCUGCUUCAGACUGAUGGACUUUCGAGAGAUGACGUCAAAAAAGUUGCAGAGACCAAUAAGCGUGUCACGGACGUGCUUGUCCAUUACCCUCUAAGGGCAACAGGUAGUAUCUGCGUCAUCAUCACAUGACAGUCAUGGGACUUCAUCCCGCUGAACCUUUUCUUGUCCAUGUCUAGAUAUCUGCUUAUCUUGCCACAGUAACCGGAACUAACUUUGACUCUGGUAAGGCACUUAAAGAAUUGACCGAUCUCAGCCUGACUUAAGGUGAAGCAAGA